RNAcentral lists this long non-coding RNA (1334 nucleotides) under Anas platyrhynchos platyrhynchos (common mallard). RNAcentral describes it as "lncRNA (ENSAPLG00000027654.1)". The record is from RNAcentral. Lineage: Eukaryota; Metazoa; Chordata; Aves; Anseriformes; Anatidae.
CAGGACCUGAAGGAGUGUGCUUAGACGUGCUGCCCUAAAAGCAAUGGAGUUGGGGGGUGCCCCCUCCUUUUCAUUUGUGGUCUACUCCUGGAAUGGGGGGUGUCUGGCAGAGGUAGGUCUGGCCCUGCUGAUGUCAGUUAAGAGGCAUCGUUUUUAGGAGGUGUAAUAUAAAGAAUAACAGGUCUCACGGCUGGCUGACCAGCAUAAAUGAUAAUAUGGAUAAAGUAUGUACUUGAAUCUGUGAGUAUGAAAAAUAUGAGUUUUAUCAUAAGGAAAUGUAAUUAAAUGGGUAAUGGGGAAAUCCAACUGGGGAUCAUGUCUAAAGCUCCAGCUGAGCGCAGGAGCCUCCUGUUCAGCACCAGGAGGAAAGGUCUGAUAUUGUGCUUUGAAUUAAACAUCUCCCUAGGCCUGGCAUCAGGUUGUUGAGGUCCCAAACUGAUCUGGCUCGCUGUGUCACUGUGUGGCAGUGCUGAAAGCCUGGGGACAUGCCACUCACCCCAUGGGUUGGCUUUAGGUGGAGCUAGGAGCUGGCACUAAAUGCCCACACUACCUUGGAGCACCACAGAUCUCAUCCAGUCAGGGACAUCCAUGUGGGGAAUAUCAUUUUUUUUUUCACCCCCUAACCCCAUUUUAUGGAUCUUUCACCUUGGUUCCAGCUCGCUUAUCCUGGUUUCUCCUGCAGCAAUGCAAAUCCUUAUCUCCCCCAACUUCAGCCACCAAGGGUGGGAACCGUGCAUCUACGUGCAGACAGCUCAAUGGGAAGCAAGUGAAGGUUGCAUAAAGGUAUAGACAAGGGUCUUUCUUUAUCCUGAUACACCUUCCCCGAGCUCAUGCUCUUGGCCAUGUUGGAGACAGAGGGGUGAUCUGAGCCAGACUGGAUGCUCUUAUGUUCUUCCUUUUCCUCAUGAUAAGAAAAAUACCCGCUUGAAAACAUUACCUGUCCCUCACACUACCCUUUGAGGUGGAUAAAAGAGGUAAGCACCACUGUCUUCAUUUACUCUAUGGGAAAAUGGGGCAAAAAUGUUUUGAUAUGCAGUAUCUCCUGAACAGCUUGAAGCAGCAUGGCUCUUACCUGUGGGCAUGUGUCUAAGCAAUGUCCAUGUCAAAACUGGCCAAGGAAGAUUGGGAUCCUCUCUUUGAAGACCUACAGAUGACACAUGAAAGAAGAAAACAGGACAGAGCAGCAGAAACGGGAGCUGCACAAAUGCAAGGCGUUGCCAUAGGAUCCAGCCCAUGUCUUGCCAAAAUGCCCAUAAGCCAGAGAUCUUGUCUUAUGUUGCCAUAUGUCACAUGCUAUAAAUAAAUCAGUUUGGUUUUGGCUGGCUGCUAUUGCU